RNAcentral lists this non-coding RNA (375 nucleotides) under Parcubacteria group bacterium GW2011_GWF2_50_9. RNAcentral's name for it is "self-splicing intron". It matches the Rfam family "Group I catalytic intron". Rfam says of the family: Group I catalytic introns are large self-splicing ribozymes. They catalyse their own excision from mRNA, tRNA and rRNA precursors in a wide range of organisms. The core secondary structure consists of 9 paired regions (P1-P9). The record is from RNAcentral.
ACGCUGAAAUAAGCGUCUUGUUGUCCCUUCUAUCAGUAAUGAUAGAAUUAGUAUGCGGCUUAUAACGGUGGAGCGAGAAUCGGUCUUUCCUCAAAAGAGGUUUUCGUAUUCUCGUAAUACCGUGGGAAGUCCCACUACUUAAGUAAAGUGGGACCCCGUAACGACUGGAUUCGAGUCCCGCCAACAGGCGAGAUAAGAUGAAGAUAGUGGAUGCCCGAGUGCUCGAUGUUCGAAUAGCACCGCUAUAAUACGCCGCCUCCAGCCGUAAUUUUUGAUUGGGCUUUAAGGUUCAACCUUCUUCCCGAUUCAAGAUUGAACCUUGGAAUCAAAAAUUACGGCUGGAUGAAGAUAUAGUCUAAUUAUCGAAAGAUAAAU